RNAcentral lists this non-coding RNA (18 nucleotides) under Arabidopsis thaliana (thale cress). The record is from RNAcentral. Lineage: Eukaryota; Viridiplantae; Streptophyta; Magnoliopsida; Brassicales; Brassicaceae.
GGGGGUGUAGCUCAUAUG